GAUGAACGCUGGCGGCGUGCCUAAUACAUGCAAGUCGAGCGAACAGACGAGGAGCUUGCUCCUCUGACGUUAGCGGCGGACGGGUGAGUAACACGUGGAUAACCUACCUAUAAGACUGGGAUAACUUCGGGAAACCGGAGCUAAUACCGGAUAAUAUAUUGAACCGCAUGGUUCAAUAGUGAAAGACGGUUUUGCUGUCACUUAUAGAUGGAUCCGCGCCGCAUUAGCUAGUUGGUAAGGUAACGGCUUACCAAGGCAACGAUGCGUAGCCGACCUGAGAGGGGGAUCGGCCACACUGGAACUGAGACACGGUCCAGACUCCUACGGGAGGCAGCAGUAGGGAAUCUUCCGCAAUGGGCGAAAGCCUGACGGAGCAACGCCGCGUGAGUGAUGAAGGUCUUCGGAUCGUAAAACUCUGUUAUUAAGGAAGAACAAAUGUGUAAGUAACUAUGCACGUCUUGACGGUACCUAAUCAGAAAGCCACGGCUAACUACGUG
RNAcentral lists this ribosomal RNA (497 nucleotides) under uncultured bacterium. Its description in RNAcentral is "partial 16S ribosomal RNA". It matches the Rfam family "Bacterial small subunit ribosomal RNA", at positions 28 to 507 of the family's 1533-position model. The record is from RNAcentral.